UAUAGCUAGACGUAUCGUAAAUUACAAUAAUUGUUAUUUAAGUAAAUUGUAAUUAUUUAAAAAAAAAAUAAUGUCCCAGAAAUUUGUUAUCAUACUUUUAAUAGUGCUAUUAAUAGCUCUUUUCGAAAUGGUGCAAUGUCGAGUGAGAUAUAGUUCUAGACUUGGCGUUAAAGGCAUUGGAAAAAAUUGUGAAUAUCUUGAUCAUAAUGACAAGUGUGUUCCCAAACAGCAAAGUUCAUUAAAAAGACAAGUUGGAAAAAAAAUUAAAGCAUAUCCAAAGGCGAGUAAAUAUGCUGUUGAAAAAGAAGAUAGUCCCAGCUGGUAUCAAAAAUGGUUUGGCUGAUAAGAAUCUAACAAAAAAUAUUCAAUAAUACAAAUGUUAUAAAUAAAAUUCAAUUCAGUGUGUUCGUAUAUAAAACAUUCAGUAAAACCUAAAAAUAAAA
Molecule: long non-coding RNA, 443 nt
Organism: Calliphora vicina (urban bluebottle blowfly)
Lineage: Eukaryota; Metazoa; Arthropoda; Insecta; Diptera; Calliphoridae
Exons: 2
Source: RefSeq, a predicted model, not a curated record